This 305-nucleotide ribosomal RNA is filed under the name uncultured bacterium. RNAcentral describes it as "bacterial SSU rRNA". It matches the Rfam family "Bacterial small subunit ribosomal RNA", at positions 337 to 640 of the family's 1533-position model. The record is from RNAcentral.
UCCUACGGGGGGCAGCAGUGAGGAAUAUUGGUCAAUGGUCGGGAGACUGAACCAGCCAAGCCGCGUGAGGGAGGAAGGUACAGAGUAUCGUAAACCUCUUUUGUCAGGGAACAAAGGCGGGGACGUGUCCCCGGAUGAGGGUACCUGAAGAAAAAGCAUCGGCUAACUCCGUGCCAGCAGCCGCGGCAAUACGGGGGAUGCGAGGGUUAUCCGGAUUUAUUGGGUUUAAAGGGUGCGCAGGCGGUCUGUUAAGUCAGCGGUCAAAUCCCGGGGAUCAACCCCGGCCCGCCGUUGCAACGGGCAGG